GUUAGGGUGGCAGAGCCAAGUACAUGCAAAAGACCUAAGACCUUUUAAACAGAAGUUCAAAUCUUCUCCCUAACC
RNAcentral lists this transfer RNA (75 nucleotides) under Gambelia wislizenii (Longnose leopard lizard). RNAcentral describes it as "tRNA-Leu". It matches the Rfam family "tRNA". From Rfam's summary of the family: Transfer RNA (tRNA) molecules are approximately 80 nucleotides in length. Their secondary structure includes four short double-helical elements and three loops (D, anti-codon, and T loops). The record is from RNAcentral. Lineage: Eukaryota; Metazoa; Chordata; Lepidosauria; Squamata; Crotaphytidae.